Molecule: ribosomal RNA, 541 nt
Filed under: uncultured Massilia sp.
Lineage: Bacteria; Pseudomonadati; Pseudomonadota; Betaproteobacteria; Burkholderiales; Oxalobacteraceae
Description: bacterial SSU rRNA
Rfam family: Bacterial small subunit ribosomal RNA
Source: RNAcentral
CCUGGCGGCGAGUGGCGAACGGGUGAGUAAUAUAUCGGAACGUACCCAAGAGUGGGGGAUAACGUAGCGAAAGUUACGCUAAUACCGCAUACGAUCCAAGGAUGAAAGUGGGGGAUUCGCAAGAACCUCAUGCUCCUGGAGCGGCCGAUAUCUGAUUAGCUAGUUGGUAGGGUAAAGGCCUACCAAGGCUACGAUCAGUAGCUGGUCUGAGAGGACGACCAGCCACACUGGAACUGAGACACGGUCCAGACUCCUACGGGAGGCAGCAGUGGGGAAUUUUGGACAAUGGGCGCAAGCCUGAUCCAGCAAUGCCGCGUGAGUGAAGAAGGCCUUCGGGUUGUAAAGCUCUUUUGUCAGGGAAGAAACGGCUGAGGAUAAUACCCUUGGCUAAUGACGGUACCUGAAGAAUAAGCACCGGCUAACUACGUGCCAGCAGCCGCGGUAAUACGUAGGGUGCAAGCGUUAAUCGGAAUUACUGGGCGUAAAGCGUGCGCAGGCGGUUUUGUAAGUUUGUCGUGAAAGCCCCGGGCUCAACCUGGGA